AACGAACGCUGGCGGCAGGCCUAACACAUGCAAGUCGAGCGAGGACUUCGGUUCUAGCGGCGGACGGGUGAGUAACGCGUGGGAAUGUGCCCUUCUCUACGGAAUAGCCCUGGGAAACUGGGAGUAAUACCGUAUACGCCCUAUUGGGGAAAGAUUUAUCGGAGAAGGAUCAGCCCGCGUUGGAUUAGGUAGUUGGUGGGGUAAUGGCCUACCAAGCCGCCGAUCCAUAGCUGGUUUGAGAGGAUGAUCAGCCACACUGGGACUGAGACACGGCCCAGACUCCUACGGGAGGCAGCAGUGGGGAAUCUGAGACAAUGGGGGCAAGCCUGAGCUAGCCAUGCCGCGUGAGUGAUGAAGGCCUUAGGGGUGUAAAGCUCUUUCAGCUGGGAAGAUAAUGACGGUACCAGCAGAAGAAGCCCCGGCUAACUCCGUG
RNAcentral lists this ribosomal RNA (433 nucleotides) under uncultured bacterium. RNAcentral describes it as "partial 16S ribosomal RNA". It matches the Rfam family "Bacterial small subunit ribosomal RNA", at positions 29 to 507 of the family's 1533-position model. The record is from RNAcentral.